GCUAAGCUGCACAACAUAGCCGGGAUCUCUUUGAAGAAAUUCAGAAAAAGGUAAAUAAAGCCUGACAUUUCAGCACCAAUGUCGCAAUAUAUGUCAAUGAUUCAAUCUUUCAAUUAUUAAGCCAUUAAUAUUUAUGAGUAAUUCCUAGAAUUGCAAGAUGUCGAGGAGAACACUGCUAACGUAUUUAAAAUUUAGAAGUAUCUUAGCAUCCCUGAGAUUAGAGCUGUAGCUGAUUUGUAAUGUUUUGAUUGGUUAAAAAAGCUUCUAGAUGGAUAUGCUGCAACUCUCUAGGUUCAUUCAGAUCUGCACGAUUUGGGUGAAGAAACCCAUGAACCUAGUUGAUUGUUGUUGUUCAAUUGAAUUAGCAAGAUAAAAACUGUCAUUUUGUAUUAAGAUCUUUAGCUGAUAACUAAGCAAGGCUCAAGAUUUCUGAUACUUUGAUAUUACUGAUGAGCAUUUCGUUUGUAUUAUUUUCUUAGAUUUGAUCACAAAUCUGUAGGCAUAUAAUUUGUAUUGGUGCACUGCAAGGCAAGAAGUAAGUCUAGCUCCUGCAACUCAAAAUAUAUUGGUAUAUUCUUCAUGUGAAUGAUGCAGAAUCAUGAAGUUUCUACUUCUACGUAUAUUAACUGUAACUAGGGAGCUGCAUUUGGGUUCGAAUUGAAAGGAUAAUCUCAUUAACCAGGGAGCUAUCUAUGAUAUAGAGUUUUUGACGUAGUGCCUGGAGAUGACGGCAUCGAGGAACUUCUAGAAUAUGCUAGUCAACAGCUUGUCAACAACAACCCAAUCAAAGUGCGGAUCCAGUUUUGCCGUGUAUUGAUAUGUAUGUUAGGAUGUCUUUAUGAUUGAUGGACAUCGUGAGCUAUAUGUUUAGCUAGGAUCUAGGCUGAUGUUAUAUGACACUAGAUCUAGUAUGGUAGCUACUCUUAUGUUCUUAUGUGCCUACAUGAAUGAAUCAAAGUUUGUAUGGUUAUUGUUGUCCCUGCUGCACGUCGAUAGCAGAUUAAUUGAAUUUUUGGUAUAGUGAGUCACUUGUGGUUGUGAACGAUAUUUGUGGAUUACUUGUGGUGAUACUAAAGUUUAUUUGCA
This is a long non-coding RNA of Panicum virgatum (switchgrass), 1086 nucleotides long. RefSeq lists it as uncharacterized. The record is from RefSeq and is a predicted model, not a curated record. NCBI's taxonomy places the organism in Eukaryota, Viridiplantae, Streptophyta, Magnoliopsida, Poales, Poaceae. The transcript is spliced from 2 exons.